CGCGUGACUUAAGCAUAUCAAUAAGCGGAGGAAAAGAAACCAACAGGGAUUGCCCCAGUAACGGCGAGUGAAGCGGCAACAGCUCAAAUUUGAAAUCUGGUCCCCAGGGCCCGAGUUGUAAUUUGCAGAGGAUGCUUUUGGCGAGGCGCCUUCCGAGUUCCCUGGAACGGGACGCCAUAGAGGGUGAGAGCCCCGUCUGGUUGGAUGCCGAGCCUCUGUAAAGCUCCUUCGACGAGUCGAGUAGUUUGGGAAUGCUGCUCUAAAUGGGAGGUAUAUGUCUUCUAAAGCUAAAUACCGGCCAGAGACCGAUAGCGCACAAGUAGAGUGAUCGAAAGAUGAAAAGCACUUUGAAAAGAGGGUUAAAUAGUACGUGAAAUUGUUGAAAGGGAAGCGCUUAUGACCAGACUUGGGCCCGGUGAAUCAUCCAGCGUUCUCGCUGGUGCACUUUGCCGGGCUCAGGCCAGCAUCAGUUUGCCCCGGGGGAUAAAGGCUUUGGGAAUGUGGCUCCCUCGGGAGUGUUAUAGCCCAUUGCACAAUACCCUGGGGCGGACUGAGGUUCGCGCAUCUGCAAGGAUGCUGGCGUAAUGGUCAUCAGCGACCCGUCUUGAAACACGGACCAAGGAGUCGUCUUCGUAUGCGAGUGUUCGGGUGUCAAACCCCUACGCGUAAUGAAAGUGAACGCAGGUGAGAGCUUCGGCGCAUCAUCGACCGAUCCUGAUGUUCUCGGAUGGAUUUGAGUAAGAGCAUACGGGGCCGGACCCGAAAGAAGGUGAACUAUGCCUGUAUAGGGUGAAGCCAGAGGAAACUCUGGUGGAGGCUCGCAGCGGUUCUGACGUGCAAAUCGAUCGUCAAAUAUGGGCAUGGGGGCGAAAGACUAAUCGAC
RNAcentral lists this ribosomal RNA (883 nucleotides) under Metarhizium rileyi. Its description in RNAcentral is "partial large subunit ribosomal RNA". It matches the Rfam family "Eukaryotic large subunit ribosomal RNA", at positions 26 to 940 of the family's 3401-position model. The record is from RNAcentral. Lineage: Eukaryota; Fungi; Ascomycota; Sordariomycetes; Hypocreales; Clavicipitaceae.